This 253-nucleotide ribosomal RNA is filed under the name uncultured bacterium. RNAcentral's name for it is "partial 16S ribosomal RNA". It matches the Rfam family "Bacterial small subunit ribosomal RNA", at positions 524 to 776 of the family's 1533-position model. The record is from RNAcentral.
UACAGAGGUCCCAAGCGUUAUUCGGAUUCACUGGGCGUAAAGGGUGCGCAGGCGGCCAAGUGUGUCAGGUGUGAAAUCCCGAGGCUUAACCUCGGAACUGCGCCUGAAACUACUUGGCUAGAGUACUGGAGAGGGUAACGGAAUUCACGGUGUAGCAGUGAAAUGCGUAGAUAUCGUGAGGAACACCAGAGGCGAAGGCGGUUACCUGGACAGUUACUGACGCUCAGGCACGAAAGCGUGGGGAGCAAAAGGG